AGUGUAGGUCCCUGGGAUUGAACUCAGGC
RNAcentral lists this unclassified non-coding RNA (29 nucleotides) under Mus musculus (house mouse). RNAcentral's name for it is "oocyte_clustered_small_RNA11405". The record is from RNAcentral. Lineage: Eukaryota; Metazoa; Chordata; Mammalia; Rodentia; Muridae.